Molecule: long non-coding RNA, 781 nt
Organism: Siniperca chuatsi (mandarin fish)
Lineage: Eukaryota; Metazoa; Chordata; Actinopteri; Centrarchiformes; Sinipercidae
Exons: 3
Source: RefSeq, a predicted model, not a curated record
AUAAGGUGCCAGUCGACAAAACUUCCUUCAUUUCCUCUUGUUGUUGCAGUAUGGGAGCAGGGGCAACCACCAACCAGCUUAAGGACAGUGGGGCUAAAAGGUGAAAGCCACGUUCGGCUGAACUUCAGGCUUGAUCAAAAGGAAUGCGACCUGGGCUUGGGAAGGCAGCAGAGCUUAUCUGCCCAGCAGUGAGGCUUUGGAGGAGAAGAGCCAGGCACCAGAUAGCUUCAGGUUCCAGAGGCGUGGGUAGCCAGCUGCAGAGCUGUUCUGGAUGCUGAUUGGAAAGAAGGAAGCCGGGUUUGGAUUAAAGAGCAGCGGACCUGGAGCCAGAUCAACCGGACCAGGCAGGCACCACGGCGGCUGCUGUGAUCGCCCAGGAGGAGAGGAACGACAGCCGGGACAAGAGCCAUGCUGGCACAGCUUGGACGUAAGGCUGCUCCUGGCUUAUGUCUGGCCUGGACGAAAUGGGACUCUGUUAUAUACUAUACUAUACUGUUAUACAUCUUUACAGAGACCUGCUCCAUCAACAUCCCGGAUCAAGCACUCGACGGGCGGACCGUAUUCCGAGCUGACAGAGCGCAAGACUCCAGCAAGAUGAAAGGAGGAAGACUCUGUGUUUACAUCGAUGCUCGGUGCACAAACGCAGGCAAAGUGAAUGGACAGUGUCUCACAAAUGUCGAACUUUUUAUGUGAAGAUAAAUAGCAUAUUAUCAUGGCUAUCUGCUGUUUACAUUCCACCAGAUGCAAAUUAAAAAAAUGCGCUGCAGAAUUAUUUCCUGGG